This 423-nucleotide ribosomal RNA is filed under the name uncultured bacterium. Its description in RNAcentral is "bacterial SSU rRNA". It matches the Rfam family "Bacterial small subunit ribosomal RNA", at positions 355 to 775 of the family's 1533-position model. The record is from RNAcentral.
UAAGGAAUAUUGGUCAAUGGGCGCAAGCCUGAACCAGCCAUGCCGCGUGCAGGAAGACGGCCCUAUGGGUUGUAAACUGCUUUUGUCAGGGAAUAAACCCCCGCUCGUGAGCGGGGCUGAAGGUACCUGAAGAAUAAGCAUCGGCUAACUCCGUGCCAGCAGCCGCGGUAAUACGGAGGAUGCAAGCGUUAUCCGGAUUCAUUGGGUUUAAAGGGCGCGCAGGCGGAUUGGUAAGUCAGGGGUGAAAUCCCACAGCUCAACUGUGGAACUGCCUUUGAUACUGUCAGUCUAGAGUAUAGUUGAAGUGGGCGGAAUGUGUCAUGUAGCGGUGAAAUGCUGGGAUAUGACACAGAACACCGGUCGCGAAGGCAGCUCGCUAAGCUAUAACUGACGCUCAGGCACGAAAGCGUGGGGAUCAAACAG